This 705-nucleotide ribosomal RNA is filed under the name Roseovarius sp. RNAcentral describes it as "bacterial SSU rRNA". It matches the Rfam family "Bacterial small subunit ribosomal RNA", at positions 37 to 792 of the family's 1533-position model. The record is from RNAcentral. Lineage: Bacteria; Pseudomonadati; Pseudomonadota; Alphaproteobacteria; Rhodobacterales; Roseobacteraceae.
UGGCGGCAGCUACACAUGCAGUCGAGCGAGAUCUUCGGAUCUAGCGGCGGACGGGUGAGUAACGCGUGGGAACGUACCCUCUUCUGCGGGAUAGCCACUGGAAACGGUGAGUAAUACCGCAUACGCCCUUCGGGGGAAAGAUUUAUCGGAGGAGGAUCGGCCCGCGUUGGAUUAGGUAGUUGGUGGGGUAAUGGCCUACCAAGCCUACGAUCCAUAGCUGGUUUUAGAGGAUGAUCAGCCACACUGGGACUGAGACACGGCCCAGACUCCUACGGGAGGCAGCAGUGGGGAAUCUUAGACAAUGGGCGCAAGCCUGAUCUAGCCAUGCCGCGUGAGUGACGAAGGCCUUAGGGUCGUAAAGCUCUUUCGCCUGUGAUGAUAAUGACAGUAGCAGGUAAAGAAACCCCGGCUAACUCCGUGCCAGCAGCCGCGGUAAUACGGAGGGGGUUAGCGUUGUUCGGAAUUACUGGGCGUAAAGCGCACGUAGGCGGAUUGGAAAGUAUGGGGUGAAAUCCCAGGGCUCAACCCUGGAACGGCCUCAUAAACUUCCAGUCUGGAGUUCGAGAGAGGUGAGUGGAAUUCCGAGUGUAGAGGUGAAAUUCGUAGAUAUUCGGAGGAACACCAGUGGCGAAGGCGGCUCACUGGCUCGAUACUGACGCUGAGGUGCGAAAGUGUGGGGAGCAAACAGGAUUAGAUACCCUGGUA